AAAGAGGCCGCCGCACAUCACGCGCCUAACAAAAUCAUCCCCUGCCGUGAUUGCGCCCCCGCUUCCUCCCCUCUACCGUGCUUCCCUUCUCCCCACGGACGCCAUCCACGCCUCCGCCGCCGCCUCGCGCGACGGGCGCCAUAUCUCCCCUAUUUCCCUCUCUUCUCCACGGCCACGCCGCGUCGCCGGCCGAGCCCCGUUGCAGUCGCUGUGAGCCGCCUCCCCGCCCUGCCCCGCAGCCCGCCCCACACCCUAAGCUGCAGCAAAGAUGCCCGAGCGAGGCGGAGGGGAUCGAGGCGUGCGGUUCGCGGUGACUGGCGGGCAGGGCUUCCUUGGCGCCGCCCAAUGUCUGGAGCUGAUCCACCGCGGCGCCCUGGAGGUCUGCUCCCUCGACCUGCAGGAUUCCUCCUCCUGGUCCCAGCAGCUCCUCGACGCCGGCAUCCGCUUCUUCCAAGUUUCGUAUUGGUUCAUCUUGGUUCGAGCCAUAUAAGCCCGUGGAUCGACCCAGCGGUGCUGGAUCUGAAGCACCAGAUAGGGAGAUGCCCCUUCGUGUAUGCCUAGAUACCAAAGGCAGAGUAUUAUGACCUCUACCACGAGUUCGACGUGAAGAUGCUGCACCCGGUCAGGGACGACCAGCUGCAGGUGUUCUCGGCGAGGUUCAACGAGGUCUUCCGCAAAUGCCAGUGCCCGGGCAAUAUCUGCUUCCUACAUGGCAUCUCAACGCAUAAUGGGAGGCUUUGUGUAGCGAUGAGGUUUUCCGAAGGAUCCAUUGGGGAUAGGAUGGCUCGACUUAAAGGUGGAAGGCUCCCUUUGUCAGAUGUUUUAAGAUAUGGCGCCGAUUUGCCGCUUGGUGUGCUAGAACUACACUACAUGGGAAUAUUUGUUCAGAAUCUCCAGUCUUGUAAUUUUCUCCUUGAUGACAAUGACCAGGAAGCAUGGUUUCGUUUUAUCCCAUAUAUCAGUACAUAAUUGGAGGUGAACAUGAACUCUAGCAAUCCAAAAUAGCAGAUACAAAAUAACUGCAGCUCAGGCCAUGUAGUUCUACAACAACCAAGGAAGAAGUCCCUUUUUUUAAGCCAACCUCAGCCAAGGAAUUUAGGCUUAUAUGGGUGCUCUCUGUUUUUCAGAGGUGCGUGUACUGAGAGCGCCCACGAUUCAGGCCAAAAAAUCUAGACAAAGUGAUAGCCCGUUGAAGGAUGCUGAUUGUGGCUAUACAACUUCAACAACGUGCUUGCUACUCAUGAGUGGCAAAGUAUAACAUGCCACCAUUUUUUAAAUAAGCCCCUUCAAAUUAUGUAUGCAGUAUGCUGGGAAGAACUCAUGACAAAGCCUUGUUUGUAUGCUUGUCUUAAUGUAUUUUCAUACUGGCUCGAGUGAUGUACUCUUGCCCCCUACAUGACACCGCCUUUGCAGUGUAUUCUUGGUCGCGUGUUGCUCAAUUAGGUUAUUCUAUUUUUCUUUUUCUUUUUUAUUCACUGUUGUUGGCAUGAAUUUGCCCGUGCAUUUGGUCCUAUCAUUGACAACAAUUUAAACCUGUUAAUCCAGGAAGGAUAUGCACAUCAUUAGUGCACCUUUAUUUAUUUUGAGUAUAAAUGAGUAGUUAAUUUGCUAAUUAAAUUUGUUUUCUUGCGGGUAUAUUCAUCUCAUUAGAACGUCAUUUGUGUGGCUUGGUCUUCCUAAAUAUUGUGUGGGUUUUUUCCUUUCCUGGUUUAGCUUUGCGAAACAAUGAUUAUUUGAGCGUGUGAUCUACUCAUGCCUAUUUACCUUAUUGUAUAGUUUGCCAUUCUAGAACACUAGAUCUUUCUCCACAGCUGAGAUGUUGAUAUGACAAGUUUAAUUUGUGUUUAAUCUUUGCAGAACUAAUUUUGCUUCCCAUACAUGUCAUACAAAAAUGUUAAAUUCCCAUCAUUUUUGUUCACGGAUGUCGCACCACAGGUGAUGAGAGACUCAGGAUGGGGGCAAAACGGUCUUGACCACCGGCGGACUCAUCUAUCGUCUCACCAUCACUCCCACGGGCAGCGUUAUAGUUGAGUCCAACAAUUCAGUUCUGAAGAUAACAUGUAGGUUUAACCGAAGAGGAACGGAUUAAAACUUUUUUUAAUAUUUUUAUUCAAAGUUGCAUCUCUGUCAUGUUCACAUGGACAAUGACUAUACUUAUUAUAAGCCCUUCCAAGUUCACACGAGAAAUUAGACAUUCUGCAUUCUUGACUAUACGACUAUGAUUUUUUGGAUUAGGAUUUCCUUGUCCUCUUGAACUUCACAUGACAUAAUCAAAAGAUAAGUGAUUGGGUUUAUAUUAAGCUUGACCGUGAGAGAUGUGGGGAUCAUCAGGCACUACAUAUAUUUGUACCCCCCAACACACACACAUCAAAUUUCUGGAAUCUAAAUUUAGAAUUCAAUACUCACAUGAAUUUCAUAGGCUGCUUUGAUCAAGAUGAGUAGAUGACACAAGUACACGCUUAGUAUUCCCUCCAUUCACAAAUAUAAGAUGUUCUACCUUUUAUAUGAAUCGGAUGUAGAUAGACACAUUUUAGUGUGCUUGAGCUUCAU
Triticum urartu is the source of this 2550-nucleotide RNA transcript. It is a transcript of the gene named protein KINASE OF THE OUTER CHLOROPLAST MEMBRANE 1, with no coding region annotated. Lineage: Eukaryota; Viridiplantae; Streptophyta; Magnoliopsida; Poales; Poaceae. The record is from RefSeq and is a predicted model, not a curated record.